Cherax quadricarinatus is the source of this 1018-nucleotide non-coding RNA. The record is from RefSeq and is a predicted model, not a curated record. Lineage: Eukaryota; Metazoa; Arthropoda; Malacostraca; Decapoda; Parastacidae.
UGAAAAAGGGUGUCAAGGAACCUCUUAGUUGUUCUGAGGAAGCCCUCCAAAGCUUCGAAGAAAUUAAGAGGAUAUUUUCAAACCCCCCUGUCCUAAAAUUACCAGAUAUUAAUAAAAUAUUUUGUCUCCGAACAGAUGCCUCCCAUUCUGGACUCGGGGCUGUACUACUUCAAUAUUAUGAGGAGACACCUUUCCCAGUAUCUUUCGCCAGUAAGAAGCUUCUGCCCAGAGAAGAAAGAUAUUCCACUGUGGAGAAAGAAUGUUAUGCUUUAGUAUGGGGUAUAAGCAGAUUUAAAUACUACCUAUACGGUAAACCCUUUGUGCUUGAAACAGAUCACAAGCCACUGAUGUACUUGGAAAACUUUAAAGGGUCAAAUAGCAGACUCUUGAGAUGGGCUCUGGCUAUUCAGCCCUAUAAGUUUAAAGUCGUUUAUAUUUCUGGCUCUGAAAACCACUUUUCAGAUUGGCUGAGCCGAGGUUGUAGUUAGUUCUUUUCCCUCUGUUCGUUGACUUAUUGACUCCGUCCAUAAGUUUUGGAAGGGGGUAUUGUGAGGGAAAAGUAGGUGUAAGUGGGGUUAAGGUUGUUCGGGCAACCAGGAACCAUUAGUUACGUCGCGUGCACCCCCCCCCCUCCUCUCUGGCGGGCUGGGGCGAAACUAGUUCCUGGUGUCCGAUUUGUUAGUUUCUACUCCUGGUAAUAUUGACCUUACCUGGUGUGGGUUGAAGUUUGGAGAGUCACUUCACCUCCACUCUUCUCCUAAUCAGCUCUGUUCCUGGCGUGGUCUUCCAGGAUAGACGCCAGAUAAAGGAGCAAGACAUGUUAAUAAUACUUAUUAACAUUAUUCUACUACUACCGGCCCUUACCUAUUCUACUUGUGCUCCAUCCAAGUGGUAGGAGAUUCCAGAACAUCGGAUUACCAUCUGCCCAGGAUAACCUACAUAAAUAACAUCAGAGGAACUAUCCAGGGCCAUACCUACUCCUACCCAACUACAAGAACUGAAGGCCAUUUUUUUUUUA